This 253-nucleotide ribosomal RNA is filed under the name uncultured bacterium. Its description in RNAcentral is "partial 16S ribosomal RNA". It matches the Rfam family "Bacterial small subunit ribosomal RNA", at positions 524 to 776 of the family's 1533-position model. The record is from RNAcentral.
UACAGAGGGGGCAAGCGUUGUUCGGAAUUACUGGGCGUAAAGGGCGCGUAGGCGGCCUGUUAAGUCGAACGUGAAAUCCCCGGGCUCAACCCGGGAACUGCGUCCGAUACUGGCAGGCUUGAAUCCGGGAGAGGGAUGCGGAAUUCCAGGUGUAGCGGUGAAAUGCGUAGAUAUCUGGAGGAACACCCGUGGUGCAGACGGCUUGCUGGACCUCCACUGACGCUGAGGCACGAAAGCGUGGGGAGCAAACAGG